AACGAACGCUGGCGGCAUGCCUAACACAUGCAAGUCGAACGAGACCUUCGGGUCUAGUGGCGCACGGGUGCGUAACGCGUGGGAACCUGCCCUUAGGUUCGGAAUAACUCCCCGAAAGGGGUGCUAAUACCGGAUAAUGUCUUCGGACCAAAGAUUUAUCGCCUUUGGAUGGGCCCGCGUUGGAUUAGCUAGUUGGUAGGGUAAAAGCCUACCAAGGCGACGAUCCAUAGCUGGUCUGAGAGGAUGAUCAGCCACACUGGGACUGAGACACGGCCCAGACUCCGACGGAAGGGAGCAGUGGGGAAUAUUGGACGAUGGGCGAAAGCCUGAUCCAGCAAUGCCGCGUGAGUGAUGAAGGCCUUAGGGUUGUAAAGCUCUUUUACCCGGGAUGAUAAUGACAGUACCGGGAGAAUAAGCACCGGCUAACUCCGUG
RNAcentral lists this ribosomal RNA (433 nucleotides) under uncultured bacterium. RNAcentral's name for it is "partial 16S ribosomal RNA". It matches the Rfam family "Bacterial small subunit ribosomal RNA", at positions 29 to 507 of the family's 1533-position model. The record is from RNAcentral.